Molecule: long non-coding RNA, 2098 nt
Organism: Caretta caretta (loggerhead turtle)
Lineage: Eukaryota; Metazoa; Chordata; Testudines; Cheloniidae
Source: RefSeq, a predicted model, not a curated record
UGGACCCGGCAGAGCCCAGCUCACAAAUAGAAGACAAGGCUGGGGAAAAGUGGAGUGAACUGGAGGGCUCCCAGCAGCUGCAGUUCCCAGCAUGCCCUGAAGGAAGGAAACUCUGUGCAAGCCUGGGACCCAGUAUCAGGCCGUUUCUCCUCUGGAUCCCUGGGUAGGAGAGAAGCCAGUUCAGGUAUUUCAGAGGAAGAUGCAAGAACCCUUGGACUGGCUACUUAUGGAAAGCAUCUUGGAGGGGGAGUUCCUGCCUUAACCCAACAAUGACUAGCUGGGGUAUGCACAAAAGAUAAGACAGCAUUAGAGCUUCUGCAGCUACUGCUCAGAAUUUUGCCAAUCAGCUACAGAAUGAAGUUAUCCAGUUUCUGGCUUUGGAACAGCUCAGCCCUGCACCACUCUCCGUUCCCCACCAGGGACAAGGGGGAUAAGGAUUUUCUUUUGCAUGAAGCUAUAAAAUGUUGGUUCCUGUUUCAUGGGUAUGAGUAUAAGACAAUAGCACGGAAUAUUAGAACUAUUUUCCACAGACGGUGGUGGUUUUAGCUGCUCUCACACAAGGAUCACAAAGGCACAGAGAACACAGCUGCUACUGGCAUCCUGAGCCUGGAACGUCGCUAGCCAGUUUACUGCAAUGGUAUCAGCCGAACUCAUGACAAAGCGGUGUGGGAAAGUGUUCGCCUGUGGAGGAAGAAAUAAGGCAACCUGGGAACCUUUAGGAGAGGAUUGCAGAGCAUCUCCCUGAAAGUUUCGAGAUCUCUCAGGAGGACAAAAAGGAAAUCUCUAUGCAAUACAAACAAAAUGCUCUGCAUGCCACCACCACCCCGCCCAACCUAAUGGGAAUGAAAAGAAGAUACCAAGUCGGUCUAUCUGUCUCUUGUACCACUACUCUUCUAGUAUGAAUAAAACAAUGAAAGUCAAUAUCUUUGUCUUGCAAGCCUGGAAUGGUUCGGGUGCAUCUUAAAUUUGAGCAAUGUAAUGAAAAGUGCAUGCACACGCUUACCUGAGUUCCCUUCCCCUUCAUCAGGCUCAUCUGCAAUCACCUGGCAUGACUGGCUACACUGACGUCUCAAAUUGGCUCGUGGUUUGGUAGGAGUCCCCCGCCCCAUUUCCCACCUCCUCUUCCCCAUUCAUGGCAGGGGUCUCUGGCUUAGGCUCCUCAGAGGUAUUCAUGGUGGUGUGCUGGUGCGGUCUGCAGCAAGUAUGACAUGAAGUGGCAGGUCUGUAGCACAGCACCAAAUCUAUUGCACUCCUUAACUUUGUGGCAUCCCUGGCAAAGUGCACACAGCACUGCUGCUGAUCCCUGUUAUACCCCUUUGCCUGCAUCCCCUGAACAAUUUGUUUGCACAUUGCUAUAGCUCUUCUGCAGCUGUGCUUGCUAAGUCUCUUCUCUCAGGCUCAGGAGAUCCAAUAUUUCUGCCUACUCCAGCCAGGAGCAUGUCUAGUGCUUGGAACCAGCCUGGAUGGUCAGGCAGUUGCACACAAUGGAGAGCUGCUAGAUGUGCUUACCAAGAAAAUCAUAUAUGGCAGAAGAUGCUUACAACUCACUCACCUUACGUGCUGAUGUAAUAGCCACAAGGAAAGCUGUAUUUGUCCAUGAAGACAACUGGGAACAAGAAACCCAGUGGUUUGAAAGGAUGAUCCAUGAGUCCAAAAUGAAGUCGAAUGAUCAGCUUCAUGGACACUGGAGGGUUUUGUCUCACACCACACAGCAGUAGAAAGGAAAUGGAGAGGUGGACGGUCCACACCAUCCCUUAUACCGUUCAUCUGGGGCACAAGGAGUGGAAAAGUACAGACGUGGACCAAUGGACACUUCUUGCAACAAUCUUUCAGUCUCAAGAGCAUGGAGCCCGUGUACGCACAGAGACACCAGCACUCAAAGAAUUUGAUGCUGUAUCAGCAGCACCAGUUGCAACUUGUACAGAGGUCUUAGCCAUUAACUGACUUGAGAUGAGAGAUUUCAAGUCCUUUCUAAAGUACAUGGACAUUUAUCCAGAAACUCCUCAGUCUUAUCCCAUGAAAAUAGUCAUAGUGAGAAAGAAGAGCCGGAUAAUUUGCUAAGCAAAGUGGUACGCUCGAGGACAAAUGACUUUUUAUG